UCUCCGUUGGUGAACCAGCGGGGGGAUCAUUACAGAGUUGCAAAACUCCCGAACCAUUGUGAACGUUACCUAUCCCGUUGCUUCGGCGGGCGGCCCGGGCCCCGCGCCCGGCGCCCCCCGGCCCCCCGUGGGCGCCCGCCGGAGGUAAACCAAACCCUUGAAUUGCAUGGCCUCUCUGAGUCUUCUGUACUGAAUAAGUCAAAACUUUCAACAACGGAUCUCUUGGUUCUG
Molecule: unclassified non-coding RNA, 231 nt
Filed under: plant metagenome
Description: partial contains small subunit ribosomal RNA, internal transcribed spacer 1, and 5.8S ribosomal RNA
Source: RNAcentral